Molecule: ribosomal RNA, 433 nt
Filed under: uncultured bacterium
Lineage: Bacteria
Description: partial 16S ribosomal RNA
Rfam family: Bacterial small subunit ribosomal RNA
Source: RNAcentral
AACGAACGCUGGCGGCAUGCCUAACACAUGCAAGUCGAACGAAGACUUCGGACUUAGUGGCGCACGGGUGAGUAACACGUGGGAAUAUACCUUACGCUGGGGCAUAACAUCGGGAAACUGAUGCUAAUACCGCAUACGCCCUUCGGGGGAAAGAUUUAUCGGCGAAAGAUUAGCCCGCGUCCGAUUAGCUAGUUGGUGAGGUAAUGGCUCACUAAGGCUCCGAUCGGUAGCUGGUCUGAGAGGAUGACCAGCCACACUGGGACUGAGACACGGCCCAGACUCCGACGGGAGGCAGCAGUGGGGAAUAUUGGACAAUGGGCGCAAGCAUGAUCCAGCCAUGCCGCGUGAGUGAUGAAGGCCUGAGGGUUGUAAAGCUCUUUCACCCACGACGAUGAUGACGGUAGUGGGAGAAGAAGCCCCGGCUAACUUCGUG